Molecule: ribosomal RNA, 990 nt
Filed under: uncultured bacterium
Lineage: Bacteria
Description: bacterial SSU rRNA
Rfam family: Bacterial small subunit ribosomal RNA
Source: RNAcentral
UAGAGUUUGAUCCUGGCUCAGAUUGAACGCUGGCGGCAGGCUUAACACAUGCAAGUCGAGCGGGGAAGGGUAGCUUGCUACCUGACCUAGCGGCGGACGGGUGAGUAAUGCUUAGGAAUCUGCCUAUUAGAGGGGGACAACAUUCCGAAAGGAAUGCUAAUACCGCAUACGCCCUACGGGGGAAAGCAGGGGAUCUUCGGACCUUGCGCUAAUAGAUGAGCCUAAGUCAGAUUAGCUAGUUGGUGGGGUAAAGGCCUACCAAGGCGACGAUCUGUAGCGGGUCUGAGAGGAUGAUCCGCCACACUGGGACUGAGACACGGCCCAGACUCCUACGGGAGGCAGCAGUGGGGAAUAUUGGACAAUGGGCGAAAGCCUGAUCCAGCCAUGCCGCGUGUGUGAAGAAGGCCUUUUGGUUGUAAAGCACUUUAAGCGAGGAGGAGGCUACUUAGAUUAAUACUCUAGGAUAGUGGACGUUACUCGCAGAAUAAGCACCGGCUAACUCUGUGCCAGCAGCCGCGGUAAUACAGAGGGUGCGAGCGUUAAUCGGAUUUACUGGGCGUAAAGCGUGCGUAGGCGGCUUCUUAAGUCGGAUGUGAAAUCCCUGAGCUUAACUUAGGAAUUGCAUUCGAUACUGGGAAGCUAGAGUAUGGGAGAGGAUGGUAGAAUUCCAGGUGUAGCGGUGAAAUGCGUAGAGACCUGGAGGAAUACCGAUGGCGAAGGCAGCCAUCUGGCCUAAUACUGACGCUGAGGUACGAAAGCAUGGGGAGCAAACAGGAUUAGAUACCCUGGUAGUCCAUGCCGUAAACGAUGUCUACUAGCCGUUGGGGCCUUUGAGGCUUUAGUGGCGCAGCUAACGCGAUAAGUAGACCGCCUGGGGAGUACGGUCGCAAGACUAAAACUCAAAUGAAUUGACGGGGGCCCGCACAAGCGGUGGAGCAUGUGGUUUAAUUCGAUGCAACGCGAAGAACCUUACCUGGUCUUGACAUAGUA